Molecule: ribosomal RNA, 150 nt
Filed under: Astreopora myriophthalma
Lineage: Eukaryota; Metazoa; Cnidaria; Anthozoa; Scleractinia; Acroporidae
Description: partial 5.8S rRNA
Rfam family: 5.8S ribosomal RNA
About the family: 5.8S ribosomal RNA (5.8S rRNA) is a component of the large subunit of the eukaryotic ribosome. It is transcribed by RNA polymerase I as part of the 45S precursor that also contains 18S and 28S rRNA.
Source: RNAcentral
CUCGCGACGGUGGAUCUCUUGGCUCACGCAUCGAUGAGGAACGCGGCCAACUGCGAUACGUAGUGUGAAUUGCAGAAUUCAGUGAAUCAUCGAGUCUUUGAACGCAAAUGGCGCUCGCGACGCUCUCGCGAGCAUGUCUGUCUGAGUGUC